AUUGAACGCUGGCGGCAGGCUUAACACAUGCAAGUCGAGCGGGGUGAUGGUGCUUGCACUAUCACUUAGCGGCGGACGGGUGAGUAAUGCUUAGGAAUCUGCCUAUUAGUGGGGGACAACAUCUCGAAAGGGAUGCUAAUACCGCAUACGUCCUACGGGAGAAAGCAGGGGAUCACUUGUGACCUUGCGCUAAUAGAUGAGCCUAAGUCGGAUUAGCUAGUUGGUGGGGUAAAGGCCUACCAAGGCGACGAUCUGUAGCGGGUCUGAGAGGAUGAUCCGCCACACUGGGACUGAGAGACGGCCCAGACGCCUACGGGAGGCAGCAGUGGGGAAUAUUGGGCAAUGGGGGGAACCCUGAUCCAGCCAUGCCGCGUGUGUGAAGAAGGCCUUAUGGUUGUAAAGCACUUUAAGCGAGGAGGAGGCUCUUUUGGUUAAUACCCAAGAUGAGUGGACGUUACUCGCAGAAUAAGCACCGGCUAACUCUGUGCCAGCCGCCGCGGUAA
This 503-nucleotide ribosomal RNA is filed under the name uncultured bacterium. RNAcentral's name for it is "partial 16S ribosomal RNA". It matches the Rfam family "Bacterial small subunit ribosomal RNA", at positions 30 to 523 of the family's 1533-position model. The record is from RNAcentral.